Molecule: ribosomal RNA, 479 nt
Filed under: uncultured bacterium
Lineage: Bacteria
Description: partial 16S ribosomal RNA
Rfam family: Bacterial small subunit ribosomal RNA
Source: RNAcentral
GAUGAACGCUAGCGGGAGGCCUAACACAUGCAAGCCGAGCGGUAUUUGUUCUUCGGAACAGAGAGAGCGGCGCACGGGUGCGGAACACGUGUGCAACCUGCCUUUAUCUGGGGGAUAGCCUUUCGAAAGGAAGAUUAAUACCCCAUAAUAUAUUGAGUGGCAUCAUUUGAUAUUGAAAACUCCGGUGGAUAGAGAUGGGCACGCGCAAGAUUAGAUAGUUGGUGAGGUAACGGCUCACCAAGUCAAUGAUCUUUAGGGGGCCUGAGAGGGUGAUCCCCCACACUGGUACUGAGACACGGACCAGACUCCUACGGGAGGCAGCAGUGAGGAAUAUUGGACAAUGGGUUAGCGCCUGAUCCAGCCAUCCCGCGUGAAGGACGACGGCCCUAUGGGUUGUAAACCUCUUUUGUAUAGGGAUAAACCUACUCUCGUGAGAGUAGCUGAAGGUACUAUACGAAUAAGCACCGGCUAACUCCGUG